Non-coding RNA from Biomphalaria pfeifferi, 809 nucleotides. The record is from the annotation of a GenBank genome assembly. NCBI's taxonomy places the organism in Eukaryota, Metazoa, Mollusca, Gastropoda, Planorbidae.
GUUAAUGUAAAAAAAAAAUAGGACAUUAAUUUUUGGGAACUCUCAAGGCCCAGGUGGAUUUUGGAAUUAGGACUUUUCCCCCAUCCUAGUUACGCCACUGCGAGCCUGUCGUGGUAUAUAGGUGGUUUCGUAAUCAAUAGGCAUCUAUAUUAUAUGGAUGAGCAUGAGCUAAUAUCGUUUGGUUAUAAAAGUUAAAUAAAUGAAAAGUGUUUUUCUUAUGGAUAAAGCUUACAAAACAAACCGUUUAAAAAAGUGACCAUUGAAUGAGGUGGAAAAAAAAACAAAACAAAUGACAUAAGGACACAAAAAUAUUACUUGUCCUCGAUGCUAAGGCUAACUACUAAAAUAACAUUUCAAAUACUGUUCGAGCUUGGAACGGGUUGCCUGAAUCAUACAGAAACACUAAUGACCUAAUUUGAAUCGCUAUCAUAAACGAUCAAAUGAACAUUUAGAUAAAGGUCAGAGCGUCAACAAAAACAAAACACUUCACAGUUUUUUGAACCAUGAACAAAAUUACUAGAUCUGAAUAAUCCUAAAUCUUUAUAUAUUGUCUUUAGGAAGAUAUAUUCUAUUGCAGCGGUUCUCAACCAUUUAAGCCCAGCGACCCCUUUUUUUACAAUCCCCCCCACACAUACAGCAAUAGAAGAAUAUACAAAAACAAUCCAUAUUUUCGAUGGUCUUAGCCGACCCCUGACAAAUCGUCAAUCGAAAAAGGGGUCACGACCCACAUGUUAAAAACCCCUGCUCUAUUAUGUACGUAUUUUAAGAACUUUUUAUCAUUACCAUGUUUGUACAAAAAAAAAAAAAAA